Molecule: ribosomal RNA, 390 nt
Filed under: Diaphus watasei
Lineage: Eukaryota; Metazoa; Chordata; Actinopteri; Myctophiformes; Myctophidae
Description: partial 16S ribosomal RNA
Rfam family: Bacterial large subunit ribosomal RNA
Source: RNAcentral
CAAUCACUUGUCUCUUAAAUGGAGACCUGUAUGAAAGGCACCACGAGGGCUUAGCUGUCUCCCCUUUAAGGUCAAUGAAAUUGAUCUCCCCGUGCAGAAGCGGGGAUACGCUCGUAAGACGAGAAGACCCUAUGGAGCUUAAGACAUAAGACGACCCAUGUCAAAACCCCCUCUAAAAGGAAAUGAACAGAAUGGACUUCGCCGAAAUGUCUUCGGUUGGGGCGACCGCGGGGAAAAACCAAACCCCCACAUGGAUCAGGGCCACAAUAGCCUUAAAACCCAGACCCCCGAGUCAAAUCAACAGUAUUUCUGACCACCAAAGAGCCGGCAAUGCCGAUCAACGGACCGAGUUACCCUAGGGAUAACAGCGCAAUCCCCUCCCAGAGCCCU